Long non-coding RNA from Perognathus longimembris pacificus (Pacific pocket mouse), 399 nucleotides. RefSeq lists it as uncharacterized. The record is from RefSeq and is a predicted model, not a curated record. Lineage: Eukaryota; Metazoa; Chordata; Mammalia; Rodentia; Heteromyidae. The transcript has 4 exons.
UUGCGUCUAGCCCCAAGAUGGAAUCCUAAACAUUUCCUAUAAUAAGUGCUGGCAACACUUUCCUGUGUUUAUUUUUCAAAUAGGUUUUUCCUUUUUCUCAAAUAGUGGAAGCUUUUAGUGUUGGGGCUUUAUUUUUGGCUCACAGGGUCUGGUUGUGCCUCUGCAAGUAUGACUAUGCCUAUUUCCAUAUGGGAAAUCACUGCAGAGCAAAUGGAUUCACUAGCACUGUGUGUGUAGAGUUUCUCUUUUGCAAACAGGUGGCUUGUUGGGAGCUAGAGUAGCAGCAGCGGCAUAGCAGCACAUACACUACCAGGCUGAUGGACUAGGAUGGCGCCAACUAGAGUGAAAGCAUAUGCUUUUCCUGGGCUGGAAGUGUGAUGAACCACCGUGAAGUCCUGU